This 440-nucleotide ribosomal RNA is filed under the name uncultured bacterium. Its description in RNAcentral is "partial 16S ribosomal RNA". It matches the Rfam family "Bacterial small subunit ribosomal RNA", at positions 338 to 795 of the family's 1533-position model. The record is from RNAcentral.
CCUACGGGGUGCAGCAGUGGGGCAUAUUGCACCAUGGGGGAAACCCUGAUGCAGCGACGCCGCGUGAGUGACGAAGUACUUCGUUAUGUAAAGCUCUAUCAGCAGGGAAGAAAAUGACGGUACCUGAGUAAGAAGCCCAGGCUAACUACGUGCCAGCAGCCGCGGUAAUACGUAGGGGGCAAGCGUUAUCCGGAUUUACGGGGUGUAAAGGGAGAGGAGACGGCAGUGCAAUUCUGGCGUGAAAGGCGUGGGCUCCACCCCCGGACUGCUCUGGAAAAUGUACGGCUUGAGUGCAGGCGUGGUAAGUGGAAUUCCUAGUGUAGCCGUGAAAUGCGUAGAGAUUAGGAGGAACACCAGUGGCGAAGGCGGCUUACUGGACUGUAACUGACGUUGAGGCUCGAAAGCGUGGGGAGCAAACAGGAUGAGAUACCCCAGUAGUC